This is a long non-coding RNA of Talpa occidentalis (Iberian mole), 849 nucleotides long. RefSeq lists it as uncharacterized. The transcript is spliced from 4 exons. Lineage: Eukaryota; Metazoa; Chordata; Mammalia; Eulipotyphla; Talpidae. The record is from RefSeq and is a predicted model, not a curated record.
GUGCUGUCAUUUCCACGAGCUGUAGGAACAACAGGAUAAUUAUUUUUUCCCAAAAUGGAAUAGCAAAGAAGAUUGUUUAAAUGCAUUUCACAGGAUUGAUUGGUUCUUGGGGGAGAACAAGAUUGGAAGUAGAGACCAGUUAGGAGACUGGGCUAAGUCUUGUACAAAUUGAAAUAAUUUAAGAAGAUAUUAAAAUAAAGCCAGCAAAUCCUGACGGAAGGAGGCGAUAUUGGGAAAGUUCUGUGACAUGUUACAAAAACUUAUUUCCAAAUAAUUUCCCAUGUAACCUUGAUCACUACAUUAUACCAGCUGAGGGGUAAGAUAACCACAAGCAUGUAUGUUAUUAUUACUUUUCCUUCACUUUAACAGUGCUGCUAGUUCAGAUCGCCUUAAUUUCUAUCAAAUAGCUCUCAGACCAAUUAGGAGUGUCUGCCCUGCACACAGACCAGUGGAAUUGAAUAGAAAACCCAGAAAUAAGCCCACAUAGUUAUGGACAACUAAUCUUUGACAAAGGAGUAAAGAAUAUGCAAUGGAACAAGGACAGUUUGUCAAUAAAUGGUGCCGGGAAAACUGGACUGCUACAUACAAAAGAAGGAAGCUAGACUACUACCUCAUACCAUGCACAAAGCCAAGUCAAAAUGGAUAAAAGGCCAGAGUGUAAGACCUGGAACCAUAAAAUAUAUAGAAGAAAAUAUAAGCAAGACACUAUACGACAUACAUCUCAGUAACAUCUUUGAAGAUGGAGGGGAAGGAAAAGGGAUCAAAACAGGGGAGAAAAGAGCAGAAGGAACUAUGGUGACAAUGGGUGAAUUGGUGGUGGGAAUUUUAUAGGGAAUAUACAAUGAUGCA